AAACAGAGAGCAAUGUUAUCACAAUGAGUAUUAACUGAAACCCCAAACACACAACGAGCACCAUAUUCAUAAAAAUGGCAUUAACAUAGCCUUAUGAUCACAAAAGCAGCUAAAAUCUACCAGUCUAUAAGCUUUUUUAUCAAUCUUUUGUAGGGAAUCAGAAAUUCAAUCCUAGUUCUUACUUAGACUACAUGUUAACAUAACAUUUGUUAACAAAUAACCAACACCUUUCAAACUGUGAUCCUUGCGAUGAGGUUCAAUAAUGUUAACAUGUCCUAAUUUACGAUAAUUGAACAUCUGAGUGAUUUAAUUGAACAUCUGAGUGAUUGAAUAACCACAAGAACAAAUACGGAGCCAGUUUAUGUUGUGAAUCAAUCGUAAAUUUAAACAAAUUGCAAGUAAGCAGAAGCAUAGCAUAUGAGCAAUCGGAUGAUAUCAAGUGUAUUAUCGCAACAAAAAAGAAACAUUUAAUGGAGAUUGAAGAGCAUGGAUAUGAAAAGUAACCAGGUACGAGAACCAGGGCCGUAUGUUUUGGGAUGGGAGUUCCAGACGUUCGAAUGACCCAUUGUUGGUGUAUGGAGGCGACGAGCUCUGAAAGUCGAUGAACUCAAAACCCUAGAUUUUGC
RNAcentral lists this long non-coding RNA (626 nucleotides) under Lactuca sativa (garden lettuce). RNAcentral's name for it is "long non-coding RNA (LSAT_LNC003874)". The record is from RNAcentral. Lineage: Eukaryota; Viridiplantae; Streptophyta; Magnoliopsida; Asterales; Asteraceae.